This 468-nucleotide ribosomal RNA is filed under the name uncultured Treponema sp. RNAcentral describes it as "bacterial SSU rRNA". It matches the Rfam family "Bacterial small subunit ribosomal RNA", at positions 337 to 797 of the family's 1533-position model. The record is from RNAcentral. Lineage: Bacteria; Pseudomonadati; Spirochaetota; Spirochaetia; Treponematales; Treponemataceae.
UCCUACGGGUGGCUGCAGCUAAGAAUAUUCCGCAAUGGACGAAAGUCUGACGGAGCGACGCCGCGUGGAUGAAGAAGGCCGAAAGGUUGUAAAAUCCUUUUGCUGGGGAAGAAUAAGUCUGGGAGGGAAUGCCCGGAUGAUGACAUGAACCGGCGAAUAAGCCCCGGCCAACUACGUGCCAGCAGCCGCGGUAACACGUAGGGGGCGAGCGUUGUUCGGAAUUACUGGGCGUAAAGGGCAUGUAGGCGGCCUUGUAAGCUUGGCGUGAAAGUCCACGGCUCAACCGUGGGAAUGCGUUGAGAACUGCGAGGCUUGAGUGACGGAGAGGGAGCUAGAAUUCCUGGUGUAGGGGUGGAAUCUGUAGAGAUCAGGAAGAAUACCAAUGGCGAAGGCAAGCUCCUGGCCGAUGACUGACGCUGAGGUGCGAAAGUGUGGGGAUCAAACAGGAUUAGAUACCCCUGUAGUCGA